This 500-nucleotide ribosomal RNA is filed under the name uncultured archaeon. RNAcentral's name for it is "bacterial SSU rRNA". It matches the Rfam family "Archaeal small subunit ribosomal RNA", at positions 55 to 560 of the family's 1478-position model. The record is from RNAcentral.
GAGUCGAAUGUAGCAAUACAUGGCGUACUGCUCAGUAACACGUGGACAACCUACCCUCCGGACGGGUAUAAACCCGGGAAACUGGGUAUAAUCCCCGAUAGAUCUCGGUCGCUGGAAUGCCCCGAGAUCGAAAGCUCCGGCGCCAGAGGAUGGGUCUGCGGCCUAUCAGGUAGUAGUGGGUGUAGCGUACCUACUAGCCUACGACGGGUACGGGUUGUGAGAGCAAGAGCCCGGAGAUGGAUUCUGAGACACGAAUCCAGGCCCUACGGGGUGCAGCAGGCGCGAAAACUUUACAAUGCCGGCAACGGCGAUAAGGGGACCUCGAGUGCCAGGUUACAAAUCUGGCUGUCGUGAUGCCUAAAAAGCAUUGCAUAGCAAGGGCCGGGCAAGACCGGUGCCAGCCGCCGCGGUAACACCGGCGGCUCGAGUGGUAACCGUUAUUAUUGGGUCUAAAGGGUCUGUAGCCGGCCGGAUAAGUCUCUUGAGAAAUCCAGCAGCUC